RNA transcript from Phragmites australis (common reed), 3490 nucleotides. RefSeq lists it as uncharacterized. The transcript is spliced from 12 exons. Lineage: Eukaryota; Viridiplantae; Streptophyta; Magnoliopsida; Poales; Poaceae. The record is from RefSeq and is a predicted model, not a curated record.
AAAAAAGACUCCCGACCCACUGAACGACUGGCCUCGAGCCCACGUCUUACCCGAGCCGCCCACACCCCUACCCCUAGCCACCGCCCACUGUCCUCUCCGCUGCCGCCGCCGUCGCUAGCCCGUCGCGCCAUCGCCGCCGGGUUGCCGCUGCUCGCCCAGACGGCGCCCGCCUUCGGCCGCCCUGACCGCGCCGCCUGAGCCGCGCCGUCGCCGGAGAUCACCACCGGUCGCUGGUCCAGGUCCCCGUCGGCACUCAGUCCGGUGCUGCGCUCCUGGUGCCCUGACCGUGGCAAUCCCUCCUGACGUGGAUUGGUUUCUUCUUUUCGUCGGUUCUAUAUUUGCCAUCCUAAAGCUGCAAUAUACCAUUCAGUGACAUCGAAAGUUCAGAAUAGUCUCCCGUAGACUGGCGCAGAUGAUUGAUGAUGAGGCUGACUUCAACAACAUCCUUGAUGCCCCAGCAGAAGUGAAGACCGCUGCAAAGUUCCGUCCCAAGCAAGGGGUCAAGCCCCGAAAGGCAACUCUGCCAUCCAAAUCUGCAGCGUUUAAUCCUACUGCGAACAUUAAAGAUGGAAAAGUAGGAGCCUUAACUCAAGGCAAUUCUUCUGAAGAAAUCAGUAGUCAAGGAAGAGCAACCUUGACAGGCCCGGAUAGUGAGACAGUCGAUGAUGUAACCGGUUCUCGGAGUAUUCUUGAAGUAAUGUCGAAAGAUGUGCUAACAGUUCCCCUGGUGCCUCGAAACGAUCAUGGUGUGCCAUGGGAUUCUCCAACAGGUGGUGCUUCUGCUGGAGAUAGGGUUUCUCAAGACGACGAGCAUGAUGAUGAUUCAUCUAAAUUAGCUACACACCAAGAAAACUUGUUGGUUUCAGAUAUCCAUGUAUCAUCUGCCAGUUCAUAUAGCAAGACUAUUGAUGAUAUAGUUGAAUUUGGGGAAAUGUUUGAUGAACAAGCUGAAGAGGAAAGAGUUGCAAAGUUCCAGCCUAGGGUACAGUUGAAGAUUAAGGCAGCAUCCAAAUCACGGAAGGCUAACCAAAAGGUGGAAGCUUCCACUGUAGAUGCGGUCACACUAAAUGAAAGAGGUGAUAAUAAUCAGACAGGACUCCAUGAUGAUCAGCUACAGGCUCCUAGAUGUCAUAAAAGUGUGCAGACCUCAGAUUCUGAAGCAUUAUUGGCAACUGAAAAUAGUACAGUUGGCAAUUUAGCUAACCUCGACAGUGUCCUUGAAGAGCCAGUUCAAGAGGAAACAAUUGGGAAGUUUCGGCCUAAAUUGUGUCUGAAGCCUGGGAAGGCUUCAUCCAAAGUUGCUGGGAGUAAUGACAAUGUUGCUGCAGCUACACCGAUGGUUGGAGUUUGUGCUGUAGAUGUGAUCCUUCAAGGUAAAAAAGAUCAAAAAACCAUCACAGGUCCAGCCCCUUGGUCACCUCAGGAUGUGCAUGCUAAUGUCGAUUUGGACUCUCAGAAUGAGCUUAUAAAUCCUCAUACUUAUGGCACUCAAUCAAUGUCUAGAGAAGUUUCAGCUGAACACACUGUUAAAUCUCAACCUAAUGCUGGAGAAAAAAAGGGCAAAGGAAAAUCAGUAUCUUUUGUUCCACUUGAUGCUUCUGAGGGGAUUUCACCUACAAAUAUUUACUCUGAUAUGGGUUACUUCGACCAUUCCUGUAAUGACACAUCGACUGAUGAAAAUUUAAAUAAUGCACCUCAGCAAGCAGCUGAAAAGGUAUAUACCGAUAAAGAAAGCCAGAGCCAUGAGAGGGAACCAUCGGAUCAUGCUGUUGAACAACAGCCAAAAAUGAAUGUUGGAGAAUCAGGAUCAUCCAUGAAACUACGGAGGAGGGAAAAGUUGCAGAAAGUUGGUAUACCUGAGCAUACUGCUGAUGACUUUUUUGAUGAAGACUAUGUUGGACCUUCAGCAGCUGAACAAGAUAAUGAUAGUGGUGACGAUUACACUGCUGGUGGCAAGCGAAAAGUAAGGCGAAAGUCAAGGGAUGGUAUAAGUAAAGAACCUCCAAGGGAUUCAAUGUGCUUAGAAGAGCCGCAGCAGCAUAAGGUUCAAAAAGAUAAAAGCCAAGUAUCUUCACGGGGCCGCAAGAGAACCUCGAAAGAUGCAGCGACAGAAAAACCUGAUAAAAAGCUUACCCACAGAAUUCGUCAGAAGAAAAUGAAAGAGGUUAAGACUUUACUGGAAACAUCUGAUAACAUAGAUCACAUGAAGCUAAGUGCGACACACCUCAGGUUGUUACAAGAAAUAAGAGAGCGUGUUAAGGGUAAAGAAAUUCCAUCCGGACCAUCCUCUAAUACAAGCUUCCAACUUGAAGAUCCAGAUGGUUUUGAUUCAUUUGGAGAUAAUGAAGCACAUAACUUUGAUGACAACAGAACAGAGAACAGUGUACUACAAAAUGCAACCAAACUGAAUUAUCAUUCCUACAUGAACAAACAAACACGAGCCAAAUGGUCAAAAUCUGAUACUGACUUGUUUUACCAGGGACUUCGACAAUUUGGUAGCGAUUUUGCAAUGAUACAACAAUUAUUCCCUGAUAAGACCUGUCAUCAGGUGCGCCAAAAGUUUAAAACUGAGGAGAGAAAAAAUCCGAUGCAAGUUCAUGAUGCUAUAAUUCAUCGCUCGGGGGAUAAUUUGUUUUUCAAAAAAGUAAUUAAACAGCUCAACAUUGAAGAUGUGCUACCAGAGAUUAACAGUACACAUAAACAAGAGGAUGUAUCAAAUGAAGGCGGCCGUGGAAAUGAGAAUGCAUUGGAUGAUUUCAUCGAUGAGGAAGGAGAAAAUGGUUCAAAUUGGUCGGAUAAAGAGCUUGGCACGCACAGGUCUUACGUCCAAGAAGAGCAUGUUCCUGGAAAUGCUGAUGAUGAUCUUGGGAAUGUCUUCGAUUGGUACUAGCCAGAUAAUCAUGAUCAAUAUUAGGACAUAUGAUCUGGGAUCUCCAUGGUUAUGAUUUUGCCAACCUUGUGAGUGUUUUCAAUAAAUGACUAAUGUCACCAGAUCCUUGCGACAAUUGCUGAUAUUUGAUUGCAAAUUGCUGGGAACAUUGUUUGCUGCCCAUAUUGUUUUGACAAGAUCCCUGCGAGACUUGGCCAGAGAUUCUGGUCGUUAGUGUGUAUGUUACCUCAAAUGUGGACAUAUGUAGAACUAGGCACUGAACAGUAAAGCAUUUGGAGAAUGUUGGUGCACUGCGAUGAUCAAUCUCUUAAAGAAAAAAAUGCUCACUGCCUUAUGGCUAUGUCCUGUAAUUCCUAGUUUGUCAAGCAAUUCCUAUUUCUGUUGGCCGAUUUGGCCAGUGUGCCCUAGGUGACCUAUACCAUCAGUGCCAGUGACAGAUGUUUCCUGGAACAAGAUUCUGCAAGUCGAUGGGAACUGAAAUGAAUGUAUAUCAUCUGAGAUUGGCACUUCUGUUGUUUCGUGCCGCUUUCAUUCACUUCCCUGGUAUGUUAAACAGACAAAUUACAAAUAUAGACUUCUAUUGAUUUUAAAUCUGUCAUA